CCCGUUCCCAUUCCGAACACGGAAGUUAAGCCCUCCAGCGCCGAUGGUACUUGGCCCCUGUGGCCCGGGAGAGUAGGUCGCCGCCGGGA
RNAcentral lists this ribosomal RNA (89 nucleotides) under Candidatus Fermentithermobacillaceae bacterium. The record is from RNAcentral. Lineage: Bacteria; Bacillati; Bacillota; Candidatus Fermentithermobacillia; Candidatus Fermentithermobacillales; Candidatus Fermentithermobacillaceae.